ACUUAUGUAAUCAAUACACACUCUCCAAUCGGUGACCGUGCGAGUGGGAAUCAAUUCAUUUUUCUCAUUUAGUAUCACUAUUUUUCCUCUCUUCUUUGGUACCACAUGUACCGGACUCACCCAUGAGCUAUCAGAAAUAGGGUAGAUCAGACCUGCAUCUAAUAGCUUCACCACUUAUUUUCUCACCACCUCCUUCAUUGCUGGAUUAAGCCUUAUUUGGGUUUGUACCACUAUUUUGUGAUUAUCCUCCAUCAAUA
This 257-nucleotide long non-coding RNA is filed under the name Lathyrus oleraceus (garden pea). RNAcentral describes it as "Pisum sativum (pea) long non-coding RNA (PSAT_LNC022870)". Lineage: Eukaryota; Viridiplantae; Streptophyta; Magnoliopsida; Fabales; Fabaceae. The record is from RNAcentral.